Molecule: unclassified non-coding RNA, 2014 nt
Filed under: Hevea brasiliensis (rubber tree)
Lineage: Eukaryota; Viridiplantae; Streptophyta; Magnoliopsida; Malpighiales; Euphorbiaceae
Source: RNAcentral
GCGAAAUCUCACUGGUCGCUAUAGAGUGUCAGAAUUUUCGUCUCUCCUGUGUGCAAACUUACAAUUUACAAACCCUACUACUCCUUAAGGUGAAUGAUAUUUGGGUGAGAAACGAGAAGACUCACUGUGCAGAGGAGACAUGGCAACCCAAGCAGCUGCCUCUUUCAAUGGCAACAUGAAGAAAGCACUUGCUGGCCUCAGACGUAUCAAUCUGGAAGGUUUGCGAUGGAGAGUAUUUGAUGCAAAAGGCCAGGUCCUCGGAAGAUUAGCAUCUCAAAUAUCAACGAUAAUUCAAGGAAAGGAUAAGCCUACAUAUGCUCCAUAUCGUGAUGAUGGGGAUAUGUGCAUUGUGCUUAAUGCAAAGGAUGUAUGUGUUACAGGGAGAAAGAUGACAGAUAAAUUUUAUCGCUGGCAUACUGGGUAUGUGGGCCAUCUCAAGGAAAGGAGUUUAAAGGAUCAGAUGGCAAAGGACCCUGCAGAAGUAAUUCGCAAAGCAGUCUUGCGCAUGCUUCCUAGAAACAAAUUGCGUGAUGUUAGUACUAUACUAAGCAUUUCUAUUGACACGAAAUAUUACUUUAUCUUGUUUUCUGAUAUAUCUUUAUUGUGUGGAAAUGCUUUUUACCUUUCUGUUUAGUGUUCACUUAUUAUUCUGUCUUCAAUCACACCUGACAUGUGAGGCAUAUUGUUACAUGUUUUUCUGCUGCUGUAGCCAGCAUUCAUAUAGAUUAAUGUCUAGGCAGACUCUAGUUUUUGCAGGUGCAAAACGGAGAACAACAAAGGUAGAGAACCUGCCAAACAUGAGAACCAUAAACCCUAGCACACUUGAUCUAACAAAACAUCGAAAAUAGUGAAAAUUUUAUAUAAUGCCUUAAAUCUUAUUUAGGUCAGCUAUGGUUCAUACUGGGUUGGAAGCUCCAAAAUAUGGGGUUUCGCUACUUACAGUCUCAUGCAUUUCAAAUCUCACUUGUGUAGGUUUUUUCCUUGUAAAUUUUGAUACAUAAUUGUGGGACAUGAUCUCUAUCAAUGUUUUUUCUUGGAUCUAGUUUCUCCUCUGAAACAAAUGGAGAGCUGACUGUUGGAUUAGACUCAAUCGAAUGAUGCUCUUGGUGCCCUUUUCUCCCUUUGGUUGUAAGCCUUGGAUGUGUUGCCACAUCUUGAAUCUAUAAUAAUAGAAAUUGUAAAUUUGUUUUACUAACUAAAAUUCCAUUUUGUUAAGUUCAAGUAUAUGGCUUGGAGUAUUUCAGAAGUAGAUUGCUAUAUACAAUUGAUCUUUUUAUGGAUGUAGGAUAGAGAUAGAAAAUUGAGGAUUUUUGCUGGAAGUGAGCACCCUUUUGGUGAUUGGCCCCUUGAGCCAUAUGUAAUGCCUCCUAGAACAAUACGAGAGAUGCGGCCGCGUGCUAGACGAGCCUUGAUUCGAGCUAAAAAAAAAGCUGAGCAGCAACUGCAAGGUGCUAUUGAUAUGAGAAAAGGCAGAAAGAAAGAAGCUGAAGCAGAAGUGACCGAGUAAAAAUGUGAUACGAGAAAUAGUAGAAGUAACCAGGUGAAAAUUGGGAAGAUCUAAUGUGCGUGACUGUCAGAUGGAUGCAUUUUUAUUCUGUAUGUAGUCACCAUAAAUGGUCUUGUCCCCAUCUGUUGCAAAUUGAGAACUCUGCUCCUGGUUCCUGAAUCCCUUUAUAAACAUUUAGUGCGUACAUUUCAAUUAAACUUAUGCUUGUUUGAAGCUCUGAAGUUGCCCUGGCGACAACUUAUUUCACGAUAUUGCAAUGCCGAGUUUCAUCUAUUGAUUGAUUGUUUACAUCCAGAAUGUAGAUAAAAUUAUGCUUACAAUGUUGUAUGCAAAUAUAUCGCGAUGUAAGUAUAAAAGAAGAUGUCAUAUUUUGAAUUUUUGUAGGAUGAACACGACAUUCUCAAUGUUGUGACAUAAUGUGUAGAUAGCUUCUGAGAUUUUAUAUGCUAGCAUACUUCACACGUUUUAUGAAUUUGUAUAUUUCUGUGCGUUUACAAAACAUUGCCG